Molecule: ribosomal RNA, 465 nt
Filed under: Vreelandella stevensii
Lineage: Bacteria; Pseudomonadati; Pseudomonadota; Gammaproteobacteria; Oceanospirillales; Halomonadaceae
Description: partial 16S ribosomal RNA
Rfam family: Bacterial small subunit ribosomal RNA
Source: RNAcentral
CCUACGGGCGGCUGCAGUGGGGAAUAUUGGACAAUGGGCGAAAGCCUGAUCCAGCCAUGCCGCGUGUGUGAAGAAGGCCUUCGGGUUGUAAAGCACUUUCAGUGGGGAAGAAAGCCUUGGGGCUAAUACCCUCGAGGAAGGACAUCACCCACAGAAGAAGCACCGGCUAACUCCGUGCCAGCAGCCGCGGUAAUACGGAGGGUGCGAGCGUUAAUCGGAAUUACUGGGCGUAAAGCGCGCGUAGGCGGUCUGAUAAGCCGGUUGUGAAAGCCCCGGGUUCAACCUGGGAACGGCAUCCGGAACUGUCAGGCUAGAGUGCAGGAGAGGAAGGUAGAAUUCCCGGUGUAGCGGUGAAAUGCGUAGAGAUCGGGAGGAAUACCAGUGGCGAAGGCGGCCUUCUGGACUGACACUGACGCUGAGGUGCGAAAGCGUGGGUAGCAAACAGGAUUAGAUACCCUGGUAGUC